This 441-nucleotide ribosomal RNA is filed under the name uncultured bacterium. Its description in RNAcentral is "partial 16S ribosomal RNA". It matches the Rfam family "Bacterial small subunit ribosomal RNA", at positions 338 to 795 of the family's 1533-position model. The record is from RNAcentral.
CCUACGGGAGGCAGCAGUGGGGAAUAUUGCACAAUGGGGGAAACCCUGAUGCAGCAACGCCGCGUGAAGGAAGACGGUUUUCGGAUUGUAAACUUCUGUUCUUAGUGAAGAAUAAUGACGGUAGCUAAGUAGCAAGCCACGGCUAAAUACGUGCCAGCCGCCGCGGUAAUACGUAGGUGGCAAGCGUUGUCCGGAAUUACUGGGUGUAAAGGGAGCGCAGGCGGGAAGCGAAGUCAGCUGUGAAAACGACGGGCUUAACUUGUAGACUGCAGUUGAAACUGGUUUUCUUGAGUGAAGUAGAGGGUGGCGGAAUGCCGAGUGUAGCGGUGAAAUGCGUAGAUAGUCGGAGGAACACCGGUGGCGAAGGCGGCCAACUGGGCUUUAACUGACGCUGAGGCUCGAAAGUGUGGGGAGCAAACAGGAUUAGAUACCCCAGUAGUC